CAUCUGUCUUUUCAGAAAUACACCCAUUUUCCCACCUCUGCCCACCAUCAAAAUUUUGGCACAAGCACACCUGAGAUUGGACCUGGGGGAGAGGAAAGCAGAAAGCAGAAAGCAGCAGCAAGGCAAAAGAAGAAGGGGUGGGCACAAAGCAUAGAGGCCCUCAGCACCUGCCUUGAAUGAUCUGAGUCUCAAAGAGAUUAAUAACAUGUCUGCCACGGAGCUGGCUCCAGUAUAUCAGUAUUCAUUUAUGUUUAGGCCUGAAGAAGUCAAUAAAGCCCACGUCAGCCGUCAGAUUAGGCAAGAACUAAAAGUGGUGCCUUCCUUCAUUUAUAAGCCAAAUGAUGAGAAACAGAAUGCAACGAGCAACAGCAAGGAGAAGAAUGCUGGCUACAAAGUGGCCUGCGUCCACACUGAGGACAAUACAAGGAGGAAUGGUUGUAAGGUGCACUGAGAUGGCCAGAUACUCAGACCAAACCAUGAAAUUCAUCAGGUAUUUGACUUGAACCCUCCCCCAUGGAAGGGGUGUGACAUUGGACGAGCCAGCUGUCUGCAGAUGUGGAAGUGUUGAAAGACUGAAACCUGAAGGCUAUAUGCCGAUAGAAUUUCCAGGAAUUGGGUUGCAAGUCCUUCACUGAGUGGCACCUCCAGGCAGCAACUGGGGUGAGCUAUAGCUACUGCUGCAUUUGGGCUUAGGGCUGCAACUAGUACUCAUCCUUUCUCUCAUCUACCAUCCAUUCCAAAUUCCUCUCACCCCCUCCUGUGACCUCAGCAGGUCUGAAGGACUUAGAUGGUGUGACCCAGAGCUUGAUAAUCAUAUCUGUUUUAUUGUGAGUUUGCUGUAUGUGUGUACUCACAGUUACAGCAGAGCAAGGGAG
This 875-nucleotide long non-coding RNA is filed under the name Chinchilla lanigera (long-tailed chinchilla). RNAcentral describes it as "lncRNA (ENSCLAG00000023763.1)". Lineage: Eukaryota; Metazoa; Chordata; Mammalia; Rodentia; Chinchillidae. The record is from RNAcentral.